This is an RNA transcript of Mirounga angustirostris (Northern elephant seal), 10609 nucleotides long. It is a transcript of the gene named E3 ubiquitin-protein ligase RNF4, with no coding region annotated. NCBI's taxonomy places the organism in Eukaryota, Metazoa, Chordata, Mammalia, Carnivora, Phocidae. The transcript has 25 exons. The record is from RefSeq and is a predicted model, not a curated record.
CCGGGGCCAUUGCUCACAAAGGCCGCGCUAACAGGAAAGAGAACUUAGGCCCGGAGAAGGCCGCGAGCGGGCCCCGGAAAGGCUGCCCUGAACUAACAUCCAGCUCCGCGCCGUCGCCGGCGGUGCGUGGCCAGGAUCAGAGCGCCGGGAGCCCGCGGCGGCAGUCGCCCAGUAAACCACAACUCCCGAGAGGCCCUGCGCACCGAGGGGCGCAGACCCCGACUCUCGCGGGAAGGCGGGAGCGCGAGCUCGCGGGCGUGGGCGGGGCCGGAAAGAGGCGCAUUUCAAAGCGGUAAUAGAUGGUUUUCUUAUCCAAUAGGAUUGGAAAACAUACCUCCUGGACCGGUAGACCGCGGGAGUCGAGGGACGACGGCCAAUGGGAGUGCGCGGGGGGUGGAGCCCAGGCCUCAGGAGCGGAAGUGGUAGCUGUUGAGGCGGCGGCGUCUUGCUUGAGGGUUACUCCUCCGUGGCUUCCGGGGGUGCUUCCUCGCCCGAGUGCGUCGGCGGCGGCUCCUGCCGCACCAGUCCCGCUCCCGAGAAAGCGCCGUGGUGGCACAGUAAAUUCUAGACAAGCCCAGAAGCGAACUCGGGAAGCAGCCUCCACUCCUGAGAUGGCCUUGGAAGCAGAACCCAUAGAACUUGUGGAAAGUGCUGGAGAUGAAAUAGUGGAUCUCACCUGUGAAUCGUUAGAGCCUGUGGUCGUUGACCUGACUCACAAUGACUCUGUCGUGACUCCUUUUAAUUUUGGCAUGAAUCAUAGAACACCACCCUACCCCGCUGGGGAUUAUUGUCUUCUGUGCAGAAGUGAGCGGAAAGACUCUUCGUUCUUAGAGAGUGGAAUUAAGACUGCGAGCAAAUUGGCCCUCUCCAUGGCUCCCAAGGGCAACAGCGUGCUGCACCUGCCACUGUGGGUGUGCCCGGACUGCCGGCGGACUGUGGAAAAGGAGGAGAGGCACAGCGGCCUCGACCAGCCAUCGCAGGGCCAAGACUUUCUUCUUCACUCCCCUCUUGGUGGGUCCCAGCCAGAGGCAGGCGGCGGGAGGCUAGCCCUCGGCGCGCAGACGCUGCCCUCGGCGGGGCUGGGCACUGCCCCCUCGGACGCCGCGUGCGCCUGCGAGGCCUGCAGCGAGCGCAGAGAGAUUUCGGCAGAGACGGACCGGGAACCUCAGCAGCUGCAGAACUGUUGGUCGGAAGUGCGCUACAUGGUCCGCUGCAUUUACCGCCAGGCGGGGACCCCGCUGGCCGACGACCAAGACCAGAGUCUCGUGCCCGACAAGGAGGGGGUGAAGGAGCUCGUGGAUAGGCUCUGUGAGAGGGACCCUUACCAGCUGUACCAGCGGUUGGAACAACAAGCCAGAGAGUAUGUACUGGAGAUGAAAGUCCGACUCCUCCGGCAGCUGUCGGCUGCAUCCAAAGUGAAAGCGCCGUCCGCCCUGCAGGGCCCUCCACAGGCACACCAGUUCAUCUCUCUCCUUCUCGAGGAGUAUGGCGCCCUCUGCCAGGCAGCACGCACCAUCAGCACCUUCCUUGGCACGCUGGAAAACGAACACUUGAAAAAGUUCCAGGUGACAUGGGAACUGCAUAAUAAGCAUCUGUUUGAAAAUCUGGUCUUUUCGGAGCCGCUUCUCCAGAGCAACUUGCCAGCACUCCUGUCGCAGAUCAGGCUGGGAACCACGACACACGACACGUGCAACGAGGACACAUACAGCACCUUGCUGCAGCGGUACCAGCAAUCCGAAGAGGAGUUGCGCAGGGUGGCCGAGGAGUGGCUGGAAUGCCAGCAAAGGAUCGAUGCCUACGUCGAUGAGCAGAUGACAAUGAAAACGAAACAGCGCAUGCUGACGGAGGACUGGGAGCUUUUCAAACAGAGGCGAUUCAUUGAAGAGCAGCUGACCAAUAAGAAAGCAGUCGCCGGCGAGAACAACUUCACAGACGCCAUGAGGCACAUGCUGUCCUCCCGGCUGAGCAUGCCCGACUGCCCCAACUGCAACUACAGGAGAAGAUGUGCUUGCGAUGACUGCAGCCUCUCACACAUCCUCACUUGUGGUGUCAUGGACCCCCCCGUCACUGGCGACAUCCACAGUCACCAGCUGCCCCUCCAAGUGGAUUCUGCUCCCGACUAUCUCUCUGAGAUGCGCCCACCUAGCGUGUCCUCAGCAAGCUCAGGGUCAGGUUCCAGCUCUCCCAUUACAAUUCAGCAACAUCCCAGACUCAUCCUCACAGACAAUGGCUCUGCACCAACUUUUUGUAGUGAUGAUGAAGACGUUGCGCCAUUGUCAGCUAAAUUUGCUGAUAUUUAUCCACUGAGUAACUACGAUGAUACUGAGGUGGUGGCCAAUAUGAAUGGAAUCCACAGCGAAUUGAAUGGUGGCGGGGAAAACAUGGCUCUGAAAGAUGAGUCCCCUCAGGUAAGCAGUACCAGUAGUAGUUCUUCAGAGGCUGAUGAUGAAGAGGCGGAUGGCGAGAGCAGUGGGGAGCCGCCAGGAGCCCCAAAGCAAGACGUAGCUCUAAGCAAUGGGAGUCCCAGGAAAGAGGAAAGUAAAGUGGACAGUCCACCCCCAUCUUACCCUACUCAGCAGCCUGAACAAGCUCCGAACACUUGUGAAUGUCAUGUUUGUAAACAGGAAGCUUCCGGACUCACGGCAUCAGCAAUGACCGCAGGAGCCCUUCCCCCGGGCCAUCAGUUCCUGAGCCCAGAGAAGCCCACCCACCCUGCUUUGCAUCUUUACCCUCACAUCCACGGACAUGUGCCUCUGCACGCGGUCCCACACCUGCCCCGUCCUCUCAUCCACCCCACCUUGUAUACGGCGCCCCCCUUCACACACAGUAAGGCUUUACCGCCAGCACCUGUUCAGAAUCACACAAAUAAGCAUCAGGUAUUCAAUGCAUCUCUUCAAGACCAUAUUUAUCCAAGCUGUUUUGGGAAUACUCCAGAGUGGAAUAGUUCUAAAUUUAUAAGUCUUUGGGGAUCAGAAGUGAUGAAUGAUAAGAACUGGAAUCCUGGCACUUUCUUGCCAGAUACAAUUUCUGGGAGUGACAUACUAGGACCAACACUCUCAGAAACGAGACCCGAAGCCCUUCCACCUCCGUCUAGCGGUGAAACGCCUGCAGUUUCCGAGAGCAAGGAGAAAAAAAACGCCGCAAAAAAGAAAUGCUUGUAUAAUUUCCAAGAUGCUUUCAUGGAAGCGAACAAAGUCGUGAUGGCCACGUCGUCAGCCACCUCCUCCGUGUCCUGCACGGCCACCACGGUGCAGUCCAGCAACAGCCAGUUCAAAGUGUCGUCCAAGAGGCCUCCUUCCAUAGGUGAGGUGUUCCACGGCGUCACCAAGGAGGACCACAGACACGCGGUGCCGGCCGCCCCGAGGAACAGCCCCACGGCCCUGGCGCCGCUUCCCGCCCUCGCCCCUGCCGCGCUCGCCCCGGCCUCCUCGCCUCACCUCGCGAGUCUCGCAGCCCCAUCCUUCCCCAACACUGCUGCCCCGUCCCCCGGGUUUGUGGAGCCACGCAAGAGCUUCUGUCCUGCUCCAGGAGCCCCCCCGCCCCCCACAACCGACGGCUCCAUCAGCGCUCCCCCCAGCGUCUGCAGUGACCCCGACUGUGAGGGCCACCGCUGCGAGAACGGCGUGUAUGACCCACAGCAGGACGACGGGGACGAGAGCGCCGACGAGGACAGCUGUUCUGAGCACAGCUCCAGCACGUCUACCUCCACCAACCAGAAGGAGGGCAAGUACUGUGACUGCUGCUACUGCGAGUUCUUCGGGCACGGCGGGCCUCCAGCUGCGCCGACAAGUAGAAAUUACGCAGAGAUGAGGGAGAAGCUUCGUUUGCGGCUGACCAAGAGGAAAGAAGAGCAGCCUAAAAAGGCGGACCAGCUCUCGGACAGAGAGAGUGUCGUUGACCAUCGAAGGGUGGAAGACUUGCUACAGUUCAUAAACAGCUCAGAGACCAAGCCCGUGAGCAGCACUCGAGCCGCCAAGCGAGCCAGACACAAGCAGAGGAAGCUGGAGGAGAAAGCUCGCCUGGAAGCAGAGGCCAGGGCCCGGGAGCACCUGCACCUCCGUGAGGAGCAGAGACGACAGGAGGAGGAGGAGGAGUUUCAGCGACUUCAAGAGCUUCAGAAGCUGAGGGCCGUGAAAAAGAAGAAGAAGGAGAGGCCAAGUAAAGACUGUCCCAAGUUGGACAUGCUUGCUAGAGACUUCCAGGCAGCAGCAGAGUCUGUACCUAACUCUGAAAACAUGCACAAUGGCUCACUAGAGCAAAUGGAAGAACCAGAAACCUCAUCUCACUCUCCUUCCAGACAUGGGGACCACACGGAACCCAGGCCAGGGCCGGGGGCUGACGGGGAUGCUGCCGGCCCCAUGGACGCCAGAGACUCCAAGCUCCUCCUCCCCAAGGAGGUCAGUGGGAAGCGGCAGGAGCCGCUGUCUUUUCUCCUUGACAUAAUGCAUCACCACAAGGAGGGGAAUGGCAAGCAGAAGCUCAAACAGACCAGCAAGGGCAGCAGCGAGCUGGUGAGGAAGCCGGCCGAGCCCCCCAAAGCCUCAGAGGGCCAGCCCAGACCCCGGCCCCAGACUGAGUCGAAGGCGAAAGUGCUUGACUUCACUUCCCUGGUGGAGCACAAAAGGGAGGACAGAAAAGUGAACAGUAACAACAAUAACAAAAAGCAGCUGAACCACGUCAAGGAAGAAAGGUUGAAUCCGGCCCCCCCAGAGCCUGCCUCCCCCAGCGAGCACCCUCAGGACAGCAAGCUGGUGCUGGCGGACUCUCCGCAGCCUAAGGGCAAGAGCAAGAAAAAUAGGAAGAAGAAAGGAGACCGAGUCAGCAGUUCAAUCGAUGAUGUUUUUCUGCCUAAAGAUAUCGACCUAGACAGCGUGGAUAUGGAUGAGACAGAGAGGGAAGUGGAGUAUUUCAAAAGAAGAAUAGGAAGAACGGACGGCUUUUCUUGCCCAUUACAAAGACGAUCAUGAAAACAUUGUGAUAUUCGUGCAGAAUCCGGAGCCCAGAAACAGACUAUACAAACGCUGAGCUUUGGUUUAUGACAAAAGACAGAUCGACAGUGGAAAUGAAGGUGGGGAAACCAAGGCCCAGGGUGCUUCUGCGGGACAUCCAGCUCCAGUGCUCCUGUCUUCACGGGUCCUAGACCUGGGCGCCGACCCCUGGGGGAGCCUCACAUAGACCACGCUGGAGUAUCACCUCCUUUACACGCGACAGGCGAAAUCGUCUGUCCUGGACCCACUAUUAAAACGUAAGCAUAAGCACCGAGGGGUGGGAGGCGAGGCGCACGAAGACCUCCCAUGCGGUUCCGAACUGUUAAGAACUCACGCUUGAAACCAACCAUGUGCCACCGGGAGCCUGCCGUACCCGGGAGCCCUCCAGAUGCUCUUCCGUGGGGAGGACGAGGUAGGUUAAGAGGAAGAGUCCGAAACGUGCGCCGGUGGCCCCCGUGAAGGAUGAACUGCCACGGAGACUGUCCCCCUGCCACACACAACUGUAAAACCGGGGAAGGUGUUUAAACAAUGCUUUUGGCUGUUGGAAGAGACACAGCACAUGGCAGUGUUUUCUGAGCGAAGGGGAGGAAACCAGGUAAGCCUCUUGGCGCCCCAGCUUCCAGCGUGGAGGCAGUUUCCAGGCCCAGCACGGGCUGGGGGCUGCAGAGCCCAGAGCCCAGCAGGCCUGCUGAGUAGAGCAAGCAGAGAUUGGCAUUUGGAGAGGUCAAGGUGGCUCGAAUUUGUGGGGCAGGGUUCCAGACAGGAGGGGCUGCACAUAAGGGGCUGUGGGGGUCUGCAGAGUCCCCUACAAUCUACUGAUGUUGCAGGUGUGGCAUGAACUUCCAGGAGCCCAAGGGAAAAUCACCAGAAAGCAGAACGGCUGGAGUAGUGUUUGCACCAGCCACAGUGGAGAACCUUCUAAUACACGCUGCAGACACCAGCGUAGAGUCCUCAGAAAGCUGUGACCUUAGCAGGGGGGUUAAAUUAGCUCUAGAGUAAAAUCUAAAAAGCAAGCCUCAGGAGGAUCACACUGAUCCUAAGUAUCUUAACUGCCUGCUAGGACAAAGUCCAACGUUCUUUAAAAGAAUACAAAAAUAUCCCACACUAAACAAAAUUCACAAUGUUGGAAUCCAAGCAGAAAUUACCAGGCCAUGCCAAGAGGAAGGAAAAUAUAAACCGUAAUCAGGAGAAAUACUAAACAAACAAUAGACCCCAAAAUGACAGUUGGUGAAUUUGCAGACAGGGACCUUAAAAUGGCUAAUGUAAGUCUUAAAAAUAUGCUCAAGAUGUAAGAGAAAUCAUGAACAAGAUGAAGGACGAAAUGAAAGAUCCAAAAAAGACCUAAGUGAAGUUCUAAAGAAAAAAUACAUCAUCCGAAAUGGAAAAAUACCCUGGAUAGAAUUAACAGCAGAUCUGAAACCUCUGAGGAAACACCACGAACUUGAUGGCAUCAGAACAGAAACUACCAGAAAGAAGCACUGAGAGAAGAGAGAAUGGAAAAUGGUAACCUGUGGGACGGUAUCAAGCAGUUCAACAUACAUGCAACUGGAGUCCUGCGGAAGUGGGGCACAAAAAAAUAUAUAAAAUGAGCUUGUCACAAGCUUGCUGGGAUAUGGAUGAGGCUGUGUUGAGCCUGUAGAUCAAUUUGGGACGAAGUGACAGCUUGAGACUAGAGUUCCCAGUUUGCAGAUGUGAUUUCUCUUCAUUUACAUGUUCUUGAAUUUCAGCAGUUAUUUUGUAGCUUUUAUUGUAGAGAUUCUGCAUGCUUCUGAUAAAUGUUUUCUAAGCAUUUUAGGUUUUUGACAUCGUAAACAGGGUUAUGCUUUAGUUUCCUGGAGCUCUCAUAACAAAGUACCAUAAACUGGGUGGCUUCUCACAACAGAAAUUUAUUCUCUCACAGUCCUGGAGGAUAUAACGCAAAAUCCCUGGGAGGAUAUAUGCCCCAAAACACGGGUAUCCACAAGAUUGGUUCCUUCUAGAGGUGAAGAACCAUCUGUUCCAUGCCUCCCUCCUGGCUCCUCGUAGCAGUCCUUGGCUUAUAGAGGUGUCCCUCCAGUCUCUCUUCCUGUCUUCACAUGGCCUCUUCCCUGUGUCUGUGUGUCUCUGUUUUUUUUAAGAUUUUAUUUUUAAGUAAUUACACCCCAACGUGGGGCUCAAACUCACAACCCCAAGAUCAAGAGCUGCCUGCUCCACCAACUGAGCCAGCCGGCACCCCAUGUCUCUUAAAAGAGGACGCCAGUCAUAUUGGGUAGGGCCCACCCUCAUCCAGCACAACAUUAUCUCAUAUGAAUCUGCAAAGACCAUAUUUCCAAGUUAAGGUCACAUUCACAGGUUCUAGGGGUUAGGACUUAACAUCUUUUGGGGAAACAGGUUUUGUUUUUUUUUUUAAUUUAUUUGAGAGAGAGAAUGAGAUAGAGAGAGAGAGCAUGAGAGGGGGGAGGGUCAGAGGGAGAAGCAGACCCCCCGCCGAGCAGGGAGCCCGAUGUGGGACUCGAUCCCGGGACUCCAGGAUCAUGACCUGAGCCGAAGGCAGUUGCUUAACCAACUGAGCCACCCAGGCGCCCCUGGGGAAACAGGUUUUUAAAUUCAUUUCUCCAGUUGUUGCAAAUAUAUAUAGCAUAUGGUCGAUUUUUCAUAUAUUGAACUUUGUACCUUGAGAUUGUCAAAAUGAUUUACAAAUUUUCAACUUCAAGAUCACCUAGGAUUUUUUACAUGUAUAAUCACGUCAUCUGCAAAUAAGGACAAUUUCUUCUAAUUUUUCUGUUCUUUAUUCCUUUUAUUAGCUUACUGCACUAGGUAGACCCUCCGGUACAAUGUGGAAUUGCAGUGGUAAGAGUGAGUGCCCUUGCCUUGAUGUAAACCUGAGCAGGCACAGACAGCAUUCAGUAUUUGUCACCAGGUAGAAUGUUAGGUGUAGGGUUUCGGACAUAUAUCUUUAUCAGAUUGAGGAAAUGCCUUCUAUUCCUAGUUUGCUGAGUGUGUUUUCAUGAGUGGACAUUAAAUUUUGUUACAUACUUUUUCUGCUUCUAUUGAGAUGAUCAUGUUUUUUCUGUUAUUCUAGUGAAUUACAUUAGUGGUUUUUUUUUUUUUCUUAAAGAUUUUAUUUAUUUGACAGCACAAGCAGGGGGAGGGGCAGAGGGAGAAGCAGACUCCCCACUGAGCAGAGAGCCCAACAUGGGGCUAGAUUGCAGGACCCGAGGAUAAUGACCUGAGCCGAAGGCAGACGCUUAACCGACUGAGCCACCCAGCGCCCUAGUGCUUUUUUUUUUAAUAGUCAAUCUGUAUCUCUAAUUAAAAUUCUACUUGUAAAUUCUACUUGUCUAUGACUUAUUAUCCUUUUUAUAUCUAAUUGAAUUUGUUUAUAUUUUGUUUAGGAUGUUUGCAUCUGUGUUCAUGAGAGAGAUUUGUCAUUUUCUUGUUUUUCUCAGGUUUUGGUGUCAUAAAAAUGAGUUGGGGAACAUUCCUUCUAUUUGCUGAGUGUAUGUAAGAUUGGUAUAUCUUUCUCAGAUGUUUGGAAGAAUUCACCAGUGAAGUCAUCUGGGCCUAUAAUUUUCUUUGUGAAAAUACUCUUAAUUACAGAUUGUUUACUUAAUGGCUACAGAGCUACUCAGGUUUUCUCUUUCUUCUUGUAUCUGUUUUGGUUAAGUUGUAUUUUUCAAGGAUUUUAUCCGUUUCAUCUGUCAGAUUUAUUAGCUUAAAGUGUUCAUAGUAGUCCUCUUAGAGAUCCAUAGUGAUGUCCCCCUUUUCAUUCCUGCUUAUCAGCAAUUUGUCCCCUGUCUUUUCCUCAUGAGUCUUGUUACUGGUUUGUUGGUGGUGGUGCCAUUUGAAAGAACUCUUGGCUUUGUUGAUUUUUCUGUUUUCUAUCUCAUUGAUUUCUGCUCUUAUAUUCUGUCCUUUCCUUUGAGUUUAAUAUGCAGUUCUUCUCCUAGCUCUUGAGAUGGGCACUCAGAUCACUGAAUUUUAACCUCAUUUUCACUCAGUUCAAAGUAUUUUCUCAUUUCCAUUGUGUUUUUUCCUUUGCCCACAGACCACUUAGAAGUGUGUUGAGAAUUUGGAUUUAUCUGUUACUGAGUUGUGGUUUAAUCUCACCACGGUCAGAGAACAUAAGUUCAGUGAUUCGGUUCUUUGGAAUAUGUUGUGACUUGAUUUAUGCCCCACAGAUUUGUCUCUGUUGGUAAGUGUUCCACGUAGAGCUGAGAAGAAUUCUAGUUGGCUUUUGUUGGGUGUAAUGUUUGCCAUAUGCAAAGGAGGCCAAAUUGGUUAAGUAUUUUGGUUAAAUCUUUAGUAUCCCUGCUCUUCUCUGAGAGGUGUGUUAAAAUCUUCAGCUAUGAUUGUGCAUUUAUCCAGGUCUCCUUUUCAUUUAUAUAUUUUGAAACCAUGUCAUUCAUGGCUUCAUCCACUCCCUCAUUAUCUUGGCCAGUGUUGACAGGGUGUGUCUUUUUCUAUCCUUUUCUCUGUUUUUAUAUUUAAAGUAUGCCUCUGCUAACGAGCACAUACGUGAGAGUUUAUUUUCACCCAGGCUGAUAAUCAUGAUCUUUCGGUCAGUAUUUGAUCCCCUUAUCUUUAAGUUAAUUACUGAUAGAGUUGGGUUUAAGUAUACCAUCUUGCCAUCUAUUUUCUGUGUGUCUCAUCUCUUCCUUAUUCCUUUAGUUUUCCUAACUUGUCUUGCUUUGGAUUAAUAAAAACAUUGUUCACUUUUUAGUUAAAUAUUUGUAUUACUAUUUUAGUGGUUACUCUAGAAAUUAUGCUUCCCUACUGAAUUACAGUCCACCUUAAAUCAAUGCAAAAACUCCUGUGUAAGUUCAUUAAAUACUCCCCACACACACACACCUAGAAAGCUCUCGUGGCCACAUGUUUGCAUGUUUUAAAGCCCUCAAAAGGACUUAGUCAGUAAUCCUUAUCUAUCCACGCCCAUCUUCUUCACUCCUUUCUAUAUUUGUUUUUAUCCAGAAUCACUUCCCUUCAGCUGGAAUAAUUUCUAUAGUACAAAUUUCUUGUAGUAGAGUCUGUUGGAUAUAAAUAUCAUUACCUUGUAUUUAUCUGAAAACACCUUCAUGCUGCCUUUAUUUUUCCUACAUCUAAUUUUUUUUUUUUCUUAAGAUUUUAUUUUUAAGCUUAAACUCACAACCCCGAGAUCGGGAGUUGUAUGCUCUACCGACUGAGCCAGCCAGGUGCCCGUCUAGUAUUUUCUCUUGCAUAUUGCAUUUGUGGUUAGUACAGUGUAAGGUCUGAGAUUCUGCCCGUCUCUAAAAAAAAGUUGAUUCUUGUUCCAAUAGGCAGGUGAUUUGUUGGUUGAUUACCUGGGACUCGUAUGCCUUUUUAGAGCAAGGGCUAUUUCCAUUUUGUCCCAGGAUGUCAACUUUACUCUUGAGGCCUGGCCCUUCUAGGGUUUCAAAGGAAAACCUGAAGUGUUUACUAAGCCCUUCUAACCUUGAGGGACCCAGAUUCAAAGCUGUUACCCUGUAAUACUCAGCCAUGGGGAUGCCUGCUAAGCUCUGUUUUCCAUCUGCUCUUCUCACCCCAGAAUCAUUGGGGUCUUGCUCGAAGCAUGCACAAUUUGGGGGUCAGCCAAGGAUGUGAGGGUUCCCCCUUUUGUGGCUACCUUCUCUCUGGGAUGUCCC